AGGCCUCACCGAGAUUCGAACUCGGAUCGCUGGAUUCAAAGUCCAGAGUGCUAACCAUUACACCAUGAGACC
Molecule: transfer RNA, 72 nt
Filed under: Cricetulus griseus (Chinese hamster)
Lineage: Eukaryota; Metazoa; Chordata; Mammalia; Rodentia; Cricetidae
Description: tRNA-Gln
Source: RNAcentral